UGGGGAAUUUUGGUCAAUGGGGGAAACCCUGAUCCAGCCAUCCCGCGUGUGCGAUGAAGGCCUUCGGGUUGUAAAGCACUUUUGGCAGGAAAGAAACGUCAUGGGUUAAUACCCCGUGAAACUGACGGUACCUGCAGAAUAAGCACCGGCUAACUACGUGCCAGCAGCCGCGGUAAUACGUAGGGUGCAAGCGUUAAUCGGAAUUACUGGGCGUAAAGCGUGCGCAGGCGGUUCGGAAAGAAAGAUGUGAAAUCCCAGAGCUCAACUUUGGAACUGCAUUUUUAACUACCGGGCUAGAGUGUGUGAGAGGGAGGUGGAAUUCCGCGUGUAGCAGUGAAAUGCGUAGAUAUGCGGAGGAACACCGAUGGCGAAGGCAGCCUCCUGGGACAACACUGACGCUCAUGCACGAAAGCGUGGGGAGCAAACAGG
This 429-nucleotide ribosomal RNA is filed under the name Acidobacteriota bacterium. RNAcentral describes it as "Acidobacteria bacterium partial 16S ribosomal RNA". It matches the Rfam family "Bacterial small subunit ribosomal RNA", at positions 355 to 776 of the family's 1533-position model. Lineage: Bacteria; Pseudomonadati; Acidobacteriota. The record is from RNAcentral.